This 470-nucleotide ribosomal RNA is filed under the name Micromonospora sp. RNAcentral's name for it is "bacterial SSU rRNA". It matches the Rfam family "Bacterial small subunit ribosomal RNA", at positions 120 to 605 of the family's 1533-position model. The record is from RNAcentral. Lineage: Bacteria; Bacillati; Actinomycetota; Actinomycetes; Micromonosporales; Micromonosporaceae.
AGCAACCUGCCCUAGGCUUUGGGAUAACCCUCGGAAACGGGGGCUAAUACCGAAUAUGACCUCGCAUCGCAUGGUGUGUGGUGGAAAGUUUUUCGGCCUGGGAUGGGCUCGCGGCCUAUCAGCUUGUUGGUGGGGUGAUGGCCUACCAAGGCGACGACGGGUAGCCGGCCUGAGAGGGCGACCGGCCACACUGGGACUGAGACACGGCCCAGACUCCUACGGGAGGCAGCAGUGGGGAAUAUUGCACAAUGGGCGGAAGCCUGAUGCAGCGACGCCGCGUGAGGGAUGACGGCCUUCGGGUUGUAAACCUCUUUCAGCAGGGACGAAGCGUAAGUGACGGUACCUGCAGAAGAAGCGCCGGCCAACUACGUGCCAGCAGCCGCGGUAAGACGUAGGGCGCGAGCGUUGUCCGGAUUUAUUGGGCGUAAAGAGCUCGUAGGCGGCUUGUCGCGUCGACCGUGAAAACCUGG